AGCUAGUUCAGCAUCUCUGGUUCCUCACUUUAUUGAUUAGCUUUUAAGAUGGAAAAGAUUCUUUAGGAUCCUACACCUAAAAAUCCAAUUGGCAUAAAUGUAAGACUCUUUACGAUCCUACAACGUAUAAAUCCAAUUGGCAUUCUAUACAAGUGAUCCUUACUUAGUGUAGUUAUUAGGAUUUUGCUGAGAUCUGGUGAAGCCACGUCACUCUUUUAAUACCAGCCGUUCGAUCAGCUGCUGCAAACGGUUCGAUCCGUUCCAUCCCUAAGCGCUGCCUCCCUCCACCGAGCGCACCAGAUUCUCCGCCGCCGCCGCCGGGCGCGUUCCUCUCACCGUGCGCGCGACUCCUCCCUUCCCCACCAGCCCGCGCGACGCGCUCGCAUCACGCAUCCCAGCCGCGCCGCUUCUCCUCCAACCCCCUCCCCCCGGCGCUUCUCCUCCACUCCCCCACUCCGGCGCUUCUCCUCCCCCUCCCCCUGCCCCUCUCCCUUCCCCAGGUGGCAGGCCUUCCCGUGCAGGUGCCCCAACUCGCCCCACCGCUGCCCCUCGGUCUUCUCACGACGCUUCCUCUCUUGCCUGUGGCCCUCCUGAUCUGCUCGCCUACCUUCCUCUCCCAUCGCUCCAUAAACCUGCUUGUGGGAAAACAUCCGCUUCAUUCGUCUCCAGUGCCGUCGGCCUCCCCCUCGACUCCAUUAAAAUGGAAUGGGCACCAUUAGAGGACCUCAUCGGUUGGCACGCGCAUACUACUGCCUAGACCCUAAGCACGCCAAAAAACGACCUGUUUCCCUCUGUUGUUGCUUUCUUUCUAUUCAUCAAUAUUUUGUAUACUAGGAGCCUCCAAUUAUGAUAGAACUAUAAGAUCAGAGAUAGAUAGCCUUCUACUGGGUCGUACUGCUACCACCUACAGGCUGCAGCAGAGGUUAUGCCUGGUUCCCAGCUUCCCUUCACAUUCCUGUCUAAAAUAGUUGCUACAUAAGGUACUUUGUCCUUCAAGAAAAUGUAAAAACCUUCCUGGUCAAAAAAAGAAAAUGUAAAAACCUUUUCUAUCUGAAAUACAUAUGAUUCAAUUCGCUUCAUAUUCAUCUAUGUUCACCUGAUUUCCAGAAAAUAAUAUAUAUGUUCAUCCCAGGGUACUAGCUUCGCAAGAAAUACAAGAAAUUUCUUCCACAACAGCACUUCCAGAUAUUUCCAGUGUAAACUAUCUUUGGCUAAAAUUUAAACUGUCAUUAGUUCAGUGUUGACAUUAAAAUUGAGGCACAUAUUGCGCCAUAUUAAUCCUCCUUUGCUAUAAGAUAUCCCUAAUUUGGAAACGGAUCCUCUGACUUUGGCUUGGAAAGUCACGGUGUUGCAGUUCGCUUCAUCCCUGCCGACCACUACAUCUAACGGCACACAUCCAUCUUCCCUCGUUUGCUUGCAUACUGUGCGAUCCAGUUCGGCCCAAAAUCACAGCACGGCCGGCGUGGAAAAAACAGGGGUGCAGCGGUAGGUAGUGGAGGGAAAAAGGCAGCCCUCGCUCAGUUUUAGUGCCAAAGUAUAGAACACUCUGGGUUUUGAUCCUUUCUUUCUGGGUUCUAAAAGAAAACGAAGUAAUGAAGUACAGGGAAAGCAAGAAGCAAUCAAUUGAAUAUCCAUCUUCCACCAUCGGUCAAUUUCUGCUUUGGUGAAGAAAUGGAAGAAGAGGCUCAAAGAGAGCACCACGAAUCCAACAGCAGUUCAGGUUCUGUUGAAAGUUGAAACUUUGCAUUCAUGCAUGUAGUAGCAGGCGACAGCAUACAACAAAGUUAUUGUGGCCAGAUGGGCGCCGAUGGCCGCUGCAUGCUGAACUGGGCCGCACAGCAUGCAAGCAAAGGAGGAAAGAUGGAUGUGUGCCAUUGGAUGCAGUGGUCGGCAGGGAUGAAGCGAACUGCAACACCGUGGCUUUCCAGCCAAAGUUAGAGGAUCCUUUUCCCCCUAAUUUGUAUUCAGGUCUAUAAGCUAUGGUUUUGUGAUUGAUGCUUUCCAGGUUUCUGUUCUUUCUGAUUGGACUACAGAGGAUGUUCUUCAUAAUGGUAGAAUAAAAUAAAUCAAUUGACAAAAGGGAGAUUCAUCAGGUUAGUGCAACUAUUUAUCUUGAGUUGUAUAGAUCUUUCAGUCCAAAAAUGCUACAAGUGAUUUUGUUUCUAUUGGCGCACGCUUAUCACCAAACAAACAACUGUCCAUUAAUAUUCUCAUGACAAAGAAACUAAAGAUGGGGAGUUUCUGGUGCUCUCUUCACAUAUUUAUACCAACAGAUAAGAAUUUAAAUAAAAUAGAUGAUUUUUUACUUUCCAGAUGACAAGACAUAGUUAUUUAGUUUUAAAAUCACUACACACUAGGCUAUGGUGCACGCAACAAAUUUCCUCAAAACAACUAUGCCAUCUUCUCGGCUUCAUUUUUUCUUCAUUCAGAUUUGUUCACAUUUAUUCUUUCAAAGUUUACAAAUUUUCAUUGAUGUUUCAUGCAUGUGUUUUACUACCAAAUAACUCCUCCAAAAGUAGUGUUUAAUUGUAAUAUAAUACUUAUAAUCUCCACAUGGCAAACAUUAUUAUACCUAUAAUCUCCACAAUUAACUCAAUCCACCAUUACCACUCAACUUAUAUAACUAUCAGGGACACCUCACUUGGUUUCUCCCAACAAUAGCUUAUCUUUCCCAUUCCUCCUAUACUCAACAGCACUAUACUCAUCCCCACACAUGGACCAUGAACAACCAGCCAACAGGUUUUCUCUAAUCCUCAAUUAGUAAUGUUAUUACCUUCAAUUCUGUGUUUAGGGGCCUCAAAUUAUCUUUUAUGACCUUUGCAUUAUUUUCACAUUUUUAUACUUCAUAGCAUAAACUACUAUUAUUUCCUGUCAUGAAUCUACCCAAACCUUUGUAUGGUGAUGUUCAUUUCUGUUUUGUCCAUAUUCCACAAGUGAAGGCAUGCAAUUGUUCAAAUGAAUUCUUCUACGAUGCCAACAGUUUCUAUAGCUGUCAGUCUGUCACGGGCAAAUCCACAGGCAGAGACCACAGCAAACCGAAGCUUCAAGACACUCAUGUUCCUACUCAUACAUGAAAAAUGGAUUACCUCACAUGCAGCUAAGUACAAUUGAAGAGGAGGUAAAAAAACAAAUUUGUGAUCAAACAUCACUUUUGUUGCUUCGGUUAAUAAAUUUCAUCGUAUGAAAAAUGUCAUUGUUUGCUGAAUAUAAUAAAACAGACAUUUCCUAUGUGCUGUCUAUUAUAUUUAUCUUAUAUCCCCUCAUGUAUCUCUCAGAAUCUAUUUACAAAA
This is a non-coding RNA of Oryza sativa Japonica Group (Japanese rice), 3290 nucleotides long. The record is from RefSeq and is a predicted model, not a curated record. Lineage: Eukaryota; Viridiplantae; Streptophyta; Magnoliopsida; Poales; Poaceae.